AACGAACGCUGGCGGCAGGCCUAACACAUGCAAGUCGAACGAAGCCUUCGGGCUUAGUGGCGAACGGGUUAGUAACGCGUGGGAACAUACCCUUCUCUAAGGAAUAGUCUCGGGAAACUGGGGGUAAUGCCUUAUACGCCCUUUGGGGGAAAGAUUUAUCGGAGAUGGAUUGGCCCGCGUUAGAUUAGAUAGUUGGUGGGGUAAUGGCCUACCAAGUCUACGAUCUAUAGCUGGUUUGAGAGGAUGAUCAGCAACACUGGGACUGAGACACGGCCCAGACUCCUACGGGAGGCAGCAGUGGGGAAUCUUAGACAAUGGGGAAACCCUGAUCUAGCCAUGCCGCGUGAGUGACGAAGGUCUUAGGAUCGUAAAGCUCUUUCGCUGGGGAAGAUAAUGACUGUACCCAGUAAAGAAGUCCCGGCUAACUCCGUG
RNAcentral lists this ribosomal RNA (432 nucleotides) under uncultured bacterium. RNAcentral describes it as "bacterial SSU rRNA". It matches the Rfam family "Bacterial small subunit ribosomal RNA", at positions 29 to 507 of the family's 1533-position model. The record is from RNAcentral.